AAAGCUCGUAGUUGAACCUUGGGCCUGGCUGGCCGGUCCGCCUCACCGCGUGCACUGGUUCGGCCGGGCCUUUCCCUCUGGGGAACCUCAUGCCCUUCACUGGGUGUGAUGGGGAACCAGGACUUUUACUGUGAAAAAAUUAGAGUGUUCAAAGCAGGCCUAUGCUCGAAUACAUUAGCAUGGAAUAAUAGAAUAGGACGUGUGGUUCUAUUUUGUUGGUUUCUAGGACCGCCGUAAUGAUUAAUAGGGACAGUCGGGGGCAUUAGUAUUCAAUUGUCAGAGGUGAAAUUCUUGGAUUUAUUGAAGACUAACUACUGCGAAAGCAUUUGCCAAGGAUGUUUUCAUUAAUCAGGAACGAAAGUUAGGGGAUCGAAGACGAUCAGAUACCGUCGUAGUCUUAACCAUAAACUAUGCCGACUAGGGAUCGGACGGUGUUAUUUUUUGACCCGUUCG
Molecule: ribosomal RNA, 453 nt
Filed under: uncultured Ascomycota
Lineage: Eukaryota; Fungi; Ascomycota
Description: SSU rRNA
Rfam family: Eukaryotic small subunit ribosomal RNA
Source: RNAcentral